Molecule: ribosomal RNA, 495 nt
Filed under: uncultured bacterium
Lineage: Bacteria
Description: partial 16S ribosomal RNA
Rfam family: Bacterial small subunit ribosomal RNA
Source: RNAcentral
GACGAACGCUGGCGGCGUGCCUAAUACAUGCAAGUAGAACGCUGAAGGAGGAGCUUGCUUCUCUGGAUGAGUUGCGAACGGGUGAGUAACGCGUAGGUAACCUGCCUGGUAGCGGGGGAUAACUAUUGGAAACGAUAGCUAAUACCGCAUAAGAGUAGAUGUUGCAUGACAUUUGCUUAAAAGGUGCAAUUGCAUCACUACCAGAUGGACCUGCGUUGUAUUAGCUAGUUGGUGGGGUAACGGCUCACCAAGGCGACGAUACAUAGCCGACCUGAGAGGGGGAUCGGCCACACUGGGACUGAGACACGGCCCAGACUCCUACGGGAGGCAGCAGUAGGGAAUCUUCGGCAAUGGACGGAAGUCUGACCGGGCAACGCCGCGUGAGUGAAGAAGGUUUUCGGAUCGUAAAGCUCUGUUGUAAGAGAAGAACGAGUGUGAGAGUGGAAAGUUCACACUGUGACGGUAUCUUACCAGAAAGGGACGGCUAACUACGUG